GCGGGCGCGCCCCGGGGGGCGCGGGACCCAGGUCUGGAGACGGGAAAACAGGCUGGAGUCACCUGCCGUAGAGUGGGGGUGCCCUGGCCAGCCCUGGCCUCCUGCAUCUGUCAAUGGUGACCUCAGAGGGCAUUUAUGGAGCGAUUAGCCAGUGCCAGGCCUGCCUUGUGCCCAGCCAGUCACCAGCCGGCUAUGCUGUGACCCCGGGAGCCUUUGGGGUGGGCAUUACCCCAUUUUACAGAUGAAGAAACUGAGGCCACAGCCAAUGAGACACGAAUGUGGUGUGCAUCUCACCCUUCCCCGUCGGCUUUUUGAGGAUGGUCCUGGUUGAGUGAGAACAAAGGUGGCGGAGGGAGCCGUGGACUGGUGCCAAAUGAGCAGCCCAAGCAGGACACUGGGGCCCCCUGUGAGUGGCCAGCAGCCCCCACCUCCCUCCCUGCCUCUUGCCUCUCGUGUGUGGCUCUGCCACCUGCACACCGUCACCUCAGUCUGGUCGGGAGUGGAAUGGACACCGUCACCUCAGUCUGGUCGGGAGUGGAAUGGACACCGUCACCUCAGUCUGGUCGGGAGUGGAAUGGACACCAUCACCUCAGUCUGGUCGGGAGUGGAAUGGGACACGGGUUGUCGGAACUUGCUGGGCUUCACAGGGGCCACUGUGUGGCCCUUUGGGGACCAGAUGCCCAGAGCCAGUCUAAAUGAAUAAACAUGCUAAAACGCUUCCCCACCAUUUCCCAUACUCGGCGUCCCCAUGGUUGAGUGGGUUGUUCCUGGGUGUGAUGGGGACAAACCCUGUGCUCUGUUCUGCCUCACUAAGCCAGGGGCUGCCCUCACUGAAGGGCCUUGACCGCCUGGUUCCCGGCCCCACCCUGACUGCCUCCUGCUCCAGGACGCAUCCAGCCAGCACGGGCUGUUCCCUCCGAGUGUCAGGUGUCUCGGGUGUCCUGAGGCCUGGCUCCAAGGUUCACACCCUCCCUGGUGGUGGGGGCAGGGGAGGUCCCCGGAGUGAGCAGCUCCUCCCGCUGGGCCCCUGCUAAGUCCCAGCUGUGCCCUUGGUCUUAUUUAUAGGGUCCUGGUGGCCUGGCAGGAACUUGAAGACCUGGGGCUG
This is a long non-coding RNA of Homo sapiens (human), 1105 nucleotides long. Lineage: Eukaryota; Metazoa; Chordata; Mammalia; Primates; Hominidae. The record is from Ensembl.